This 873-nucleotide ribosomal RNA is filed under the name Astrohamma tuberculatum. RNAcentral describes it as "eukaryotic LSU rRNA". It matches the Rfam family "Eukaryotic large subunit ribosomal RNA", at positions 1295 to 2083 of the family's 3401-position model. The record is from RNAcentral. Lineage: Eukaryota; Metazoa; Echinodermata; Ophiuroidea; Euryalida; Gorgonocephalidae.
UGCCGAAUCAACUAGCCCUGAAAAAUGGAUGGCGCUGAGCGUGACGCUCAUACCCGGCCGUCGGCGGCAGUGCAGUAUACCCCGACGAGUAGGAGGGACGCCGUGGUGAGCAACGAAGCGACGGCCGAGAGGCCGCGCGGAGCCGCCUCGGGCGCAGAUCUUGGUGGUAGUAGCAAAUACUCAAGUGAGAGCCUUGAGGGCCGAGUCGUGGAGAAGGGUUCCAUGUGAACAGCCGUUGCACAUGGGUCAGUCGAUCCUAAGGCCUAGGGUAGUUCCGCUCUGAGCGGCGGCGCGCGCCCACCUCGCUGUGGGCAAGCGCUCCCUGGCCGAAAGGGAAUCGGGUCAAUAUUCCCGAACCUGAAGGUGGAGCCCGCCGCCAAUAGGCGGUCAGAGCUGUAAAGCUAUAGAGCCCGGAGACGCUGACCGGAGCCCCGGGAAGAGUUGUCUUUUCUUUGUAAGGGGCGCGGCUCCCUGAAACCGACUGGAUCGGAGAGAGGGACCGCGGCCCCGUAGAGCGCCGCGUCUGGAGCGCCGUCCGGAGUUGCACCGGUCAGGCCCUUGAAAAUCCGGGGGACGAGCGUGGACUCUCACCUCAGAUCGUACCCAUAACCGCAGCAGGUCUCCAAGGUGAACAGCCUCUGGUCAAUAGAACAAUGUAGGUAAGGGAAGUCGGCAAGCCGGAUCCGUAACUUCGGGAUAAGGAUUGGCUCUGAGGACUGGGUCGGUCGGGCCGGGGCUGGAAGCAGGCACGGACCCUCAGCGUGACUGGGCGAGCCGGUCGAAAGCCCGCCUCGCGGCGGCGCCGAAUACCUCAUACCCGGACUUUGCAUUGGGUCCGGCUCGUGGACCGUCCUGGCUGCGCGGCAGCCUCGC